GGCUCGUUGGUCUAGGGGUAUCAUUCUCGCUUUGGGUGCGUGACGUCCUGGGUUCAAAUCCUGGAUGAGCCC
This is a non-coding RNA of Danionella cerebrum, 72 nucleotides long. The record is from the annotation of a GenBank genome assembly. NCBI's taxonomy places the organism in Eukaryota, Metazoa, Chordata, Actinopteri, Cypriniformes, Danionidae.